UGCAAGUCGAGCGGAUGAAGGGAGCUUGCUCCUGGAUUCAGCGGCGGACGGGUGAGUAAUGCCUAGGAAUCUGCCUGGUAGUGGGGGAUAACGUCCGGAAACGGGCGCUAAUACCGCAUACGUCCUGAGGGAGAAAGUGGGGGAUCUUCGGACCUCACGCUAUCAGAUGAGCCUAGGUCGGAUUAGCUAGUUGGUGGGGUAAAGGCCUACCAAGGCGACGAUCCGUAACUGGUCUGAGAGGAUGAUCAGUCACACUGGAACUGAGACACGGUCCAGACUCCUACGGGAGGCAGCAGUGGGGAAUAUUGGACAAUGGGCGAAAGCCUGAUCCAGCCAUGCCGCGUGUGUGAAGAAGGUCUUCGGAUUGUAAAGCACUUUAAGUUGGGAGGAAGGGCAGUAAGUUAAUACCUUGCUGUUUUGACGUUACCAACAGAAUAAGCACCGGCUAACUUCGUGCCAGCAGCCGCGGUAAUACGAAGGGUGCAAGCGUUAAUCGGAAUUACUGGGCGUAAAGCGCGCGUAGGUGGUUCAGCAAGUUGGAUGUGAAAUCCCCGGGCUCAACCUGGGAACUGCAUCCAAAACUACUGAGCUAGAGUACGGUAGAGGGUGGUGGAAUUUCCUGUGUAGCGGUGAAAUGCGUAGAUAUAGGAAGGAACACCAGUGGCGAAGGCGACCACCUGGACUGAUACUGACACUGAGGUGCGAAAGCGUGGGGAGCAAAGCAAACAGGAUUAGAUACCCUGGUAGUGCACGCCGUAAACGAUGUCGACUAGCCGUUGGGAUCCUUGAGAUAUUAGUGGCGCAGCUAACGCGAUAAGUCGACCGCCUGGGGAGUACGGCCGCAAGGUUAAAACUCAAAUGAAUUGACGGGGGCCCGCACAAGCGGUGGAGCAUGUGGUUUAAUUAGAAGCAACGCGAAGAACCUUACCUGGCCUUGACAUGCUGAGAACUUUCCAGAGAUGGAUUGGUGCCUUCGGGAACUCAGACACAGGUGCUGCAUGGCUGUCGUCAGCUUGUGUCGUGAGAUGUUGGGUUAAGUCCCGUAACGAGCGCAACCCUUGUCCUUAGUUACCAGCACCUCGGGUGGGCACUCUAAGGAGACUGCCGGUGACAAACCGGAGGAAGGUGGGGAUGACGUCAAGUCAUCAUGGCCCUUACGGCCAGGGCUACACACGUGCUACAAUGGUCGGUACAAAGGGUUGCCAAGCCGCGAGGUGGAGCUAAUCCCAUAAAACCGAUCGUAGUCCGGAUCGCAGUCUGCAACUCGACUGCGUGAAGUCGGAAUCGCUAGUAAUCGUGAAUCAGAAUGUCACGGUGAAUACGUUCCCGGGCCUUGUACACACCGCCCGUCACACCAUGGGAGUGGGUUGCUCCAGAAGUAGCUAGCCUAACCGCAAGGGGGACG
RNAcentral lists this ribosomal RNA (1405 nucleotides) under Pseudomonas aeruginosa. RNAcentral's name for it is "bacterial SSU rRNA". It matches the Rfam family "Bacterial small subunit ribosomal RNA". Lineage: Bacteria; Pseudomonadati; Pseudomonadota; Gammaproteobacteria; Pseudomonadales; Pseudomonadaceae. The record is from RNAcentral.